RNAcentral lists this unclassified non-coding RNA (160 nucleotides) under soil metagenome. Its description in RNAcentral is "partial internal transcribed spacer 1". The record is from RNAcentral.
CACAAAUUAAAAUAUGAAGGCUUCGGCUGGAUUAUUUUAUCACCCUUAGCCUUUGCGCACUUGUUGUUUCCUGGGCGAGGUUCGCCCGCCACCAGGACCACACCAUAAACCUUUUUAUGCAGUUGCAAUCAGCGUCAGUAUAACAAAUGUAAAUCAUUUA